GACUCUCGGCUAUGAAUAUCUCAACUCUUGUCAUGAUGAAUAAUGUAGAGAAAUGCAAUACUUAGUGUGAAUUGCAUAAUCCCAUGAAUCAUCAAGUUUUUUAACGCAAUUUGUGCCUGAGGCCUUGGUCGAGGGCACAUCUAUUUGGGCAUCG
Molecule: non-coding RNA, 154 nt
Organism: Picea glauca (white spruce)
Lineage: Eukaryota; Viridiplantae; Streptophyta; Pinopsida; Pinales; Pinaceae
Source: Rfam